UAGAAUUCCACGUGUAGCGGUGAAAUGCGUAGAGAUGUGGAGGAAUACCGGUGGCGAAGGCGGCCUUCUGGACAGAUACUGACGCUGAGAUGCGAAAGCGUGGGGAGCAAACAGGAUUAGAUACCCUGGUAGUCCACGCUGUAAACGAUGUCGAUUUGGAGUUUGUUGCCUAGAGUGAUGGGCUCCGAAGCUAACGCGAUAAAUCGACCGCCUGGGGAGUACGGCCGCAAGGUUAAAACUCAAAUGAAUUGACGGGGGCCCGCACAAGCGGUGGGGCAUGUGGUUUAAUUCGAUGCAACGCGAAGAACCUUACCUGGUCUUGACAUCCACAGAAUCUUGCAGAGAUGCGAGAGUGCCUUCGGGAACUGUGAGACAGGUGCUGCAUGGCUGUCGUCAGCUCGUGUUGUGAAAUGUUGGGUUAAGUCCCGCAACGAGCGCAACCCUUAUCCUUUGUUGCCAUCGGUUAGGCCGGGAACUCAAAGGAGACUGCCGUUGAUAAAGCGGAGGAAGGUGGGGACGACGUCAAGUCAUCAUGGCCCUUACGACCAGGGCUACACACGUGCUACAAUGGCGUAUACAAAGGGAGGCGACCUCGCGAGAGCAAGCGGACCUCAUAAAGUACGUCUAAGUCCGGAUUGGAGUCUGCAACUCGACUCCAUGAAGUCGGAAUCGCUAGUAAUCGUGAAUCAGAAUGU
This 695-nucleotide ribosomal RNA is filed under the name uncultured Gilliamella sp. Its description in RNAcentral is "bacterial SSU rRNA". It matches the Rfam family "Bacterial small subunit ribosomal RNA", at positions 662 to 1357 of the family's 1533-position model. The record is from RNAcentral. Lineage: Bacteria; Pseudomonadati; Pseudomonadota; Gammaproteobacteria; Orbales; Orbaceae.